ACUGCCCCCAGAGGUGGUGCAGAUGUGGCUGCUGUGUCACGUGUGUGGCAGUGGGUAACAAAGAGGAGAGAGGCUACGCCUGUGCUCCGUGUUCUGACCUGUGAACGCCUGAAAACACUCCGUGAAAAA
This 129-nucleotide small nucleolar RNA is filed under the name Meriones unguiculatus (Mongolian gerbil). RNAcentral's name for it is "Small nucleolar RNA SNORA17 (ENSMUGG00000020781.1)". It matches the Rfam family "Small nucleolar RNA SNORA17". From Rfam's summary of the family: snoRNA ACA 17 belongs to the H/ACA family of snoRNAs and is predicted to guide pseudouridylation of the 28S rRNA at positions U4659 and U4598. It shares the same host gene together with ACA43. Lineage: Eukaryota; Metazoa; Chordata; Mammalia; Rodentia; Muridae. The record is from RNAcentral.